This is a long non-coding RNA of Rhodamnia argentea, 398 nucleotides long. RefSeq lists it as uncharacterized. The record is from RefSeq and is a predicted model, not a curated record. NCBI's taxonomy places the organism in Eukaryota, Viridiplantae, Streptophyta, Magnoliopsida, Myrtales, Myrtaceae. The transcript has 2 exons.
CACAUUGGCAUUUGCAUGCCUGAAGCAUAAAAAUUGAUUCUGGGCAGAGAAGAUGAGAAGAUGGGAUUUUCAGAUGUGGAUGGUCUUAUUCUGGCACUAUACGCUGACUUUACAGUACCGCUGCCCAUCCUAUAUAAUUCAACAGUGUCCACAACUGACCAUAUGAAAAAGAAAAGAAACAAUUGUAGAAGACUGCUUACAAUCGUUGCAAUAGCAAUGACUACAGUCCAUUCUUGUUGUAAUGAUACCAGGUAUCUCUUCCAUGCAUAUACCACACAUAAUUAUAGAAGUUGAUUCCUUGGCCAAACUGAGAUCUUGGUCCUCAGUCAGAGGCACACCCGCAUCCGCAAAUAAACAAGCUUUACCCUUCUCCACAAGCACCGCAAGCAACUUCUCAA